Molecule: ribosomal RNA, 520 nt
Filed under: uncultured Glomeraceae
Lineage: Eukaryota; Fungi; Glomeromycota; Glomeromycetes; Glomerales; Glomeraceae
Description: SSU rRNA
Rfam family: Eukaryotic small subunit ribosomal RNA
Source: RNAcentral
AGCAGCCGCGGUAAUUCCAGCUCCAAUAGCGUAUAUUAAAGUUGUUGCAGUUAAAAAGCUCGUAGUUGAAUUUCGGGGUUAGUAGGUUGGUCAUGCCUCUGGUAUGUACUGAUCUCACUGAUUCCUCCUUCCUGAUGAACCGUAAUGCCAUUAAUUUGGUGUUGCGGGGAAUUUGGACUGUUACUUUGAAAAAAUUAGAGUGUUUAAAGCAAGCUAACGCUUGAAUACAUUAGCAUGGAAUAAUGAAAUAGGACGUUCGAUCCUAUUUUGUUGGUUUCUAGGAUUGACGUAAUGAUUAAUAGGGAUAGUUGGGGGCAUUAGUAUUCAAUUGUCAGAGGUGAAAUUCUUGGAUUUAUUGAAGACUAACUACUGCGAAAAGCAUUUGCCAAGGAUGUUUUCAUUAAUCAAGAACGAAAGUUAGGGAUCGAAGACGAUCAGAUACCGUCGUAGUCUUAACCAUAAACUAUGCCGACUAGGGAUCGGAUGAUGUUAAUUUUUUAAUGUACUCAUUCGGCGCCUU